This 3892-nucleotide unclassified non-coding RNA is filed under the name Hevea brasiliensis (rubber tree). Lineage: Eukaryota; Viridiplantae; Streptophyta; Magnoliopsida; Malpighiales; Euphorbiaceae. The record is from RNAcentral.
CAAAAAAAAAAAAAAAAAAUCAUAAGAAACAGAAUGUCAGCACAAGAAAGGGAAGAAAUGGAGAUGCAUGGCAUUGCUGACUUUUGAAGGAUGUCAAAACCACAUGCCAUGCCAGUGGAAGAUUUGAACCAUCAUCUAACGUAUUGGACCCUUUUAACCCGUUCCUUUCACAAUAGUCAACUGGGCAUGAAAUUAGACAUCUGUUAGUUGCUUCUCCAAUAAAAAUUUAAUCUUGACUGCCAUUCCAUGUCUUUGUUCUUCUCACUUUUCUUGGGUCUGCUUCAAUGUCGAAGCUUAGAAGAAAGAAGCUUUAGCGGGUCACUGGCCAACAUCAGUCUUUUUAAUCUCUGUGUCUUUUUCCCUUGAAAAUAAAUGGAUUAUUGUUACGUUUUUGGAUGGUAAUGGAAAGGAAAUGCUUAUGUGUGAGAUAAGAGAGGAUUAGGUGACAGUUUGGAACCACCCAUUAACCAAAAGGCAAUCCUGACAUUUUGAGCAUCACAACCGACAUUUUAGACAAGGAUUUACCGACAUAUGAAUAAUGCAGCAGAAUUGAGCCGACAAAUAAAUGGGGAAGCAUCAAUAUUGAAGCCCCGCAGCCCUUGCUUCUAUGGGCUAAGGAAAUAGAAUUUAAAAUGGGCCGUAAUAAAAUGACUUGUUCACAGGCAGCACAAAUGUGCAGUGUGAAAAUAUGAACACGCUGGACUCGUUGCAUCUCCCAGACACAUACACGUGGUGAGCUUUAGAGUUUGCCAGAUCCAUGGACCUAUAGAUUUUGAGGUUCAUGUGUGAAAACUCUAGCCGUUAUGAGCAGCAAAGCUGCCACCCCUACUAGUCCACAUUGCAUCAUUCAACUUCAUGUGAAGCAAUUUUAUAAAUAAAAAUGCUUAUCAUGAACAAAAAGCAUAAUAAUCCCACCAACCUCAUGUAUCAAAGUCUUUUAAAACAGCUGUUCAGGAAAAAAAAAAUCUAUAGAACAGAAGAUUUCCAACCCAAUUGUGAAAUGCACAGCUAGUGAUUCCUUCAAAAUACAGAAUCAUUUCAAAUUUUUGACUUGAUCAAACACCAAGGUUAAGAUCAUGCCAUUUUUGACUAAAAAAUGCAAUUUUAUAAUAGAAAACAUCCACAUCUACUAUCCCUUCGAGGAAGGAUAAAAUGCUUACAUAAGCACAGACCCAGUGAUGAAGACUCCUUGUCCUUUCAUUUUAUAAAACUUUUGCCAAUACCUCUCUCACACAAGGGUCUUGCUCGGAUCCAAUCAUUUCACAAGCGACCCAGAUUUUCAAUUUUUUAUCCACAGCUUACAGCCAGUUGGUUGACAGAAAAUAAAUUUAACAUGCACAUAUGGAUCUAAAUUGGACAUGUUAUUGGACAUUAAUAGUAUACACAACAUAUAACAUGCCAAUGAACCUAGAAGUCGGGGGAAACAAAGACCCUACUGCUCUAGCAGAGAAGUCCUAUGAUGUACAAAAAUUGGUACAAAAAAUAUAAUAAGCUUCAUCCAGAAUUUCAAACGAGCGAUGCAGGAAACCCACGAACCAAAAUUUGUAUCACCAAAAAUACAAAAGACAACUCCAUCCGCCUAAACUAAACUAUGUGAAAUUAGGACAACAUUCUCAACAAGAAUAUAUAUUGUCACCUCUGAAUCUGGGCUGCAGUAGACUUUUGUUUCCUUAAUCUGUAGAAGUAUCAGCAGCUUUUCGCAUUCUACGCUGGUGAACAUCCCAAUUAUACACUCGAGCCAUAGUAACCUGACAAAUGGGCAAAAAACCUGACAAUUUGUUCUGGGCGAAUAAGAUACAUGAAUCUAACGUUUUGAAGCAUUUUGAGCUUCCUGUGUUAUUGUGACUUGAUCCCUCAAGAAUUGUAAAUCAGCCACAAGAACUUCUAGACUAGCUUUAGCAUUAUUAAAAUUCUUUUGUAGAAGAGCAGUGGCCUCUUCACAUGAAUAUUCCAACAUGACAUUUGCUCCCAGCCACAAACAUACUGAAUCAGCAGCCUCAAUGCAAGCCCGCGAAUAUAUGCCUUCGGAGACUUCAAAAUCAGCAACAAGUGCCUGUAUCAAACAAACAAAGCCAAUGAAAAGAUAACUGCCUUAGCUUUAACAUCUCUCAGAUAAUAAAGGCACUAUCCCAGGAGUUUCUGUGUGAAAGUACAACUACUCAACAGCUAAUAUGAAUAUCUAAGUUAACUCAAAGUCUCUAGUCAUAAAAUUAAUGGCCCAAAGGACCUACCAUCUAACAAAUCUAUGGUAAUUUCUUUGUCAGUCAGCAACAUGUAGCCAACAACAAUUGACUACUUUUUGGCCAUCUAAGCUUUUUGACACAUUAUUUAUAAACUAACCGAAGGAGAAUCUUGGCAUGCCACCAAAUUUUGACGUUGUUGUAAGCAAAUUUGUUGGCAAAUACUAAAUGGAACUAAGUUACUUGUAUUCCUUUUUCAAAUUAUGUGGCAAACAAAGAGAAGCAUUGCUUAGGUCUGGUCUGUCAGGAGAUUUAAGUGUAGGUUUCCUCAGAGAAUGGAAAGUGAUUAGCUGAGGCCAGCCAAUUUGAUGUGACUGACAGGAAGCCAAGCACCUAAAAGAAGGAACCCCAUUGGAGUAACUUGAUCCUUUUUAAUGUAAAAGGAGCUAUUGGUGUCUGACAGGAGGAAGUUACUGUGACAACAGCCCAUUAUUGCUCCAAUUAAAAUACACCAAUCAUGCUAAUAUACAGAUGUUCACAAGGUUAGUCUUCAGAUUCCCAUAUAAAUAUCUCGUUUUCACAUUAAAGCAUGCUAGAAAUAAGACCAUGACAAGAUUUUUUAAGACCAAUAUGAGAUUGCAAGUAAUCCAAGCUAUUAACGGACAUGAGCUGCUUAACUAGGGCCUAUUUAUUGAAUAAGUACGGGAAUACAAGCACACAACUCAACCAGCUGAAGACUUGAUGAAACUAAUGUAUUUAAGAGAAAUCUUUGUAUUUUUCAUAUAUGAAUUCUUUGUACAUGCUCCUAUUUAUAUACAAGAGAUUUAUCCUAAUAAGAAAACUAAAAUAAAUAGGAAAUAAUAGUACAAUAGAAAAAAAUAAUCAAAUAAGAUCCUAAUACUAUGCUACAACAACAAAUCAAGGAUUCCAACACUCCUCCUUAAGUUGGUUCUUGUAUAUUACACAUAAUAAACUUGCAAACUAGAGUAUGAAACAAAUUGCUACCUAAAUCCUUAGUAAACAUGUCAGCCAAUUAUUCUUUUGAGGACACAUGUGAGACACUCAAAAUUCCAUCAACUAUUUUCUCUUUUAUGAAGUGUCGGUCAAUCUCUGUAUGCUUAGUUCGAUCACGUUGGACUGGAUUGUGUACUAUAUUGAUGGCAACCUUAUUAUUACACAAUAAGGAUAAACUAUUGAUACUUGAUAGCUUCAUUUCUUCCAUUAAUUUCUGUAACCAUAAUAGCUCACAGAUGCCCUAUGCCAUAACUCUGUAUUCUGCUUCUGCACUGGAUCUAGCUAUCACAUUUUACUUUUUACUUCUCUAAGUGACUAGAUUACUAUCGAUAAAAGUACAAUAACCUGUUAUAGACCUCCUUUCAUCAAGAGAUCCAGCUCAAUCUGCAUCUGUAAAGACUUUUAUUUGGAGAUGGCCAUGCCUUGUACUCAUUAUACUCCCCUUGAUGAGGUGACUUGACAAGGAAAUAAGAAUCAGAUUCUCGAAAGGUAAUAUUCAUACUAACAAAAUAUUUCAUGGUAAGAGGAUGAUAACAUUUAUAGCUCUUUUAAGUACCAAAACAACUUACAAACACACAUUUAAGAACUUUAGGUUCUAACUUUCCAACAUUUAUUUUGUGGACAAAACAGAGAUAUCCAAAAAUUUUUGAAGGAACAGUAUAAGAAUUAUGGCAUUGUAAAACCUCUAAAGGGCUCUU